RNAcentral lists this ribosomal RNA (253 nucleotides) under uncultured bacterium. RNAcentral describes it as "partial 16S ribosomal RNA". It matches the Rfam family "Bacterial small subunit ribosomal RNA", at positions 524 to 776 of the family's 1533-position model. The record is from RNAcentral.
UACGUAGGGUGCAAGUGUUAAUCGGAAUUACUGGGCGUAAAGCGUGCGCAGGCGGUUAUGCAAGACAGAGGUGAAAUCCCCGGGCUCAACCUGGGAACUGCCUUUGUGACUGCAUAGCUAGAGUACGGUAGAGGGGGAUGGAAUUCCGCGUGUAGCAGUGAAAUGCGUAGAGAUGCGGAGGAACACCGAUGGCGAAGGCAGCCCCCUGGGCUAGCACUGACGCUCAGGCACGAAAGCGUGGGUAGCAAACAGG